This is a long non-coding RNA of Thunnus maccoyii (southern bluefin tuna), 3225 nucleotides long. RefSeq lists it as uncharacterized. NCBI's taxonomy places the organism in Eukaryota, Metazoa, Chordata, Actinopteri, Scombriformes, Scombridae. The transcript is spliced from 2 exons. The record is from RefSeq and is a predicted model, not a curated record.
AGACUCUCAUUUAAAAAUGUUUUGAAACUUUCAUGAAAUUUAAACCUUUUUUAUAUCUCAGGAACAGAAGGUCGUGGGCAUUUGGGACCAAGACCAGACCAGCGUGUUCGGGGUAUAUGAACCACCCCCCGCCCCCCACCUAGGAGUUGGUUUCAAGUUACUAUCACUUACUGUUCAGGAGUUAUGAAUUUUAACAUAUUUUUUUGAAGGGAUACAGAAUUUUUAACGGAGACACUUUCUCAUAUUUCCCAUACCGUAACUGGUACAGCCACCAGAUUUGAUGUGCAUGAUUUUCUCUUCCCACUGUCCAUGUGUACCAAGUUUGGCGCCCCUAGUGUCUUCCUUUGAUAUAGCUGCUAUAGACUCCCAUUCAAAAACGUUUCGAAACUUUCACGAAAUUUAAACACUUUUUAUAUCUCGGGAACGGAAGGUCGUAGGCGUCAGGGACCAAGACCAGUGUGUUUGGGGCAUAAGUGGAGCGACCGUGGCGGCAGAGGGGGUGGCUGCCCCAGGGCCCAUGCUGAGGAUGUAGCGCGCCACCCCGCAGGUGCAGCAGGAAUAGGAGAACUUAACUCUCUUAGCUUCUAUUCAUUCUCUACGGUAGUUCUUAUCACUAUGGAUGAAAUCCCCCCUCCAACCACAAUGUGGGUUGCAAUGGCAGAGUGGUGCUGUCCGUAUUUCUGCUCAUUGACUGCAGGAAGUGAAGACUACAGAAGCAGCAAUUCAAAGUUCAUGACUAACUUCGCUGAAAACUUAAUCCAAAAAAUGAGAUAUUUGUGUUUUUUUAAGUUUAUGGUGAAUGAAACUUGCCAGACAAAGUUUCAGCCAUCUGAGGCUCAUUAAGAGCUAUUUGCGUUCGUGCAUGAAUGAGACCAAACUAUCCAACCUCACUUUGCUGUGUCUUGAGCGGGACAUAAACACUGGCUGGAGAAAUACACAAAGGGACUAACGUUACACUAAACUACAGCAGUCUAAGCAGGGACAACAACUGGUGAGUGAAACAUCCAUAAUUAGUCUUUAUUAACUUAAAUUUUGGUUUUGAAGAAAUCAGUCAGAAUGUUAGAUUUAUCUGUUUAACUCCAUGCUUACCGCAUCUCAGCACCUGUUUCUGUCACUGCCUGUGGUGUUGUAGGCUGUCUAUUUUGUAUUUGAAUAGGCCUUGUAUUGUUGUAGACCGCUGUGUCUAUUUUAUGUUUAUGUUAUUCCCGUGUUAGAAAGACAUGGUAAGGAGACAGAGCACCUGGCUUGUCGCUAUCUAUUGGCGGUGGUGCUGAACUAUUCGUCAAUUGGUGUAUGUAGAGCACCACAUGCUGAAACAUUUGAACGCGGCUGGCAACCUGUUUUCCUUUUUGCUCUUCAGAACAAGCUUGUCUCAAAAUGGCUUCACUGUAUGUUUCUUUGGACAUAUAGGCUUGCAUGGCUCAAUAACAAUUUGUGAUUAUGGAUAGGAUAUAUCAGCUAUUUUACAGUUGUGAAUUUUAAAAUGGCUGUUUUAGAGUGGCCCCUUGAGAAUGCUUCGCCCCCUCUGUGCUGAGAGUCUAGCUCUGCCCCUGGUCAGCACUAUCUUCCUAAACUGUCAAAAGCAACAAAAUAAGCAAGAAAUAGAAAGAAAAUCCCCAAUUCCUAAUGCCCACUUACAAAGGUGUCAUGCACAUUCAACAUAUUUGAGGAUGCAUGGUUUAAGAAAUUGUUAAAUUCUUUUUUUACAAUAAAUGUUUUUAAUUAGCCUAAAUAAUAUGUUACAAAAGUCGUUUUUCUGUAUGUUUUUAUUCAUAUUUAACUCUGUCUGCUACACACAGACACUUCUCUCUGUUUAGGCUAAGUGGAGCUUGUAGAGCCACUCAGCUGCAGCUGUGCAAGUCGUGUUCUUGAUACAUAUUGCGGUUGUGUUAACCGCAGCGUGAGCGUAUGAAUAACCACUCUCAUCUCACACCAUCAAACAGUGUGACUUGGAUGACUUUUUUCAUUUCUUAGAGGUUCAGAUUUACCUUUUUAAAGUGAAUAUAGCAUCACAGGUUUCAACUAUAACCCACAAGUAAUUAACAUUAGUGUUAACGUGUUGUCCUUUGCUAUUAUCAGUAGCUAAAUUAUUGUUUUUGUCAAAACAAAUUUGCUAACAUUUAAGUUAAGUGUUUUAAGUGAGUUAAAGUACGGGAAAAAGAAAUCUUAAACAAGCCUACACAUCCCGGAGUUUAGCUUUGCAAAGCAAAUGUUUAUUUCAGGGCUAUUGUAAUAUCUUGUGUUCAUGUUGUGGCCUUUAUGGAAAAAUAAUGAUUUAUUUACUUUUGAUUUUAUGAUGGAUCCUAUGAAAAUGUCUGUUUACUGUAAAAGAGGCCAACAGUGCAGUGAAGUCUUGAUUUAACUGGAGGAAAUAUGAAGGGAAAUCUUUGGUCACAGACUCUACCUGAAAUUACUGCUCUUCUGUACACACUACCAUUCAGCAGCAGACGUACUUUUGUUUCAGUGAUUUUGUUAUUUUGAUGAAAGUGUCUGGGAGUUUUCAGUUUUGUAAGAAGUUUUUUUCUCUGACUGAACUUUUUCUGUAGUUUAAUUUUCAACACGCUGCAGCUCCGUUACAGGCCGUAGAUGAUCAUGGAGGUCUCUACCCAGUGAUGAGGAGAGAUUCACAAACUCUUGAAACUUGGUUAUUAAACAGUCAGAUGAAAGUUGUUACACAGCUGCAUUUUUUACAUCUUUACAGACCAACAACAUCAACAGAUCCCAACACAGCCGAAGCUCUCUGAGAAGACGAGUAAAAGCUGAGAGAGAGAGAUCUCCCCUCCAGCAGGAGCCACAGCUUCACAUCACUGAUAUUGUUUUGUUGUGCAUUUUAUUUUACUGCUUCAUUUAGCCGCUGUUGCUGCUCGUACUGUUUAAAACACACACUUGAUCAGACUGUUACAUUUAUCAUAACAAUUAUCAUCGUCAUCAUCAUCACACACUCAGCCUAAAUUACUGUCUUACUGUUAUGUUCAGUUCAAAAAGCUUACAACCGCUGUGUAUUUUUUAUUUUUUUUUUAUUUUUUCAAAGUCAAAGGAAAAGAAAAGUAAAAGAAAGAAAAUAAAAAGAAAAUAAAACAACAAAACAAAAACAGAAACAGAAAAAGUGACCUGAAGCAGAACGGACUGGAUGAAAAGAUGAUCUUUAGUACUUUUUCAAUUCAAUUCUGGGCCAAAUCAUAACAAAAGAGCAGGUCUAGACUGUACUCUUUAAUUUACAGAAAC